UGCGUAGGCGGAUUAAUAAGUCAGUGGUGAAAUCUCUCGGCUCAACCGAGAAACUGCCAUUGAAACUGAUAGCCUUGAGUGUAGUUGUAGUAGGCGGAAUAUAGCAUGUAGCGGUGAAAUGCUUAGAUAUGCUAUAGAACACCGAUCGCGAAGGCAGCUUACUAAACUAUUACUGACGCUCAUGCACGAAAGCGUGGGGAGCAAACAGGAUUAGAUACCCUGGUAGUCC
Molecule: ribosomal RNA, 229 nt
Filed under: uncultured bacterium
Lineage: Bacteria
Description: partial 16S ribosomal RNA
Rfam family: Bacterial small subunit ribosomal RNA
Source: RNAcentral